GACGAACGCUGGCGGCGUGCUUAACACAUGCAAGUCGAACGGGUCUGCCCUGUUUUUUGCGGGGUGGGUCAGUGGCGAACGGGUGAGUAACACGUGAGUAACCUGCCCCUCACUUCUGGAUAACCGCUUGAAAGGGUGGCUAAUACGGGGUGUUCUGGCUGUGCCGCAUGGUGUGGCUGGGAAAGAUUCACUUUUGUGGUGUUUUGGUGGGGGAUGGGCUCGCGGCCUAUCAGCUUGUUGGUGGGGUGAUGGCCUGCCAAGGCUUUGACGGGUAGCCGGCCUGGGAGGGUAGGCGGUCACACUGGGACUGAGAUACGGCCCAGACUCCUGCGGGAGGCAGCAGUGGGGGGUAGUGCACAAUGGGCGGAAGCCUGAUGCAGCGACGUCGCGUGAGGGAUGGAGGCCUUCGGGUUGUGAACCUCUUUCGCCGGUGAAGAAGGUCCUGCUCUUUGUGGUGGGGUUGACGGUAGCCGGGUUAUGAAGCGCCGGCUAACUACGUG
RNAcentral lists this ribosomal RNA (500 nucleotides) under uncultured bacterium. RNAcentral's name for it is "partial 16S ribosomal RNA". It matches the Rfam family "Bacterial small subunit ribosomal RNA", at positions 28 to 507 of the family's 1533-position model. The record is from RNAcentral.